AUUGAACGCUGGCGGCAGGCCUAACACAUGCAAGUCGAGCGGCAGCGACUUAACUGAACCUUCGGGGAACGUUAAGGGCGGCGAGCGGCGGACGGGUGAGUAAUGCCUGGGAAUAUGCCCUGAUGUGGGGGAUAACUAUUGGAAACGAUAGCUAAUACCGCAUAAUCUCUUCGGAGUAAAGAGGGGGACCUUCGGGCCUCUCGCGUCAGGAUUAGCCCAGGUGGGAUUAGCUUGUUGGUGAGGUAAUGGCUCACCAAGGCUACGAUCCCUAGCUGGUCUGAGAGGAUGAUCAGCCACACUGGAACUGAGACACGGUCCAGACUCCUACGGGAGGCAGCAGUGGGGAAUAUUGCACAAUGGGGGAAACCCUGAUGCAGCCAUGCCGCGUGUGUGAAGAAGGCCUUCGGGUUGUAAAGCACUUUCAGUAGGGAGGAAGGUAGUGUAGUUAACACCUGCAUUAUUUGACGUUACCUACAGAAGAAGCACCGGCUAACUCCGUGCCAGCAGCCGCGGUAAUACGGAGGGUGCGAGCGUUAAUCGGAAUUACUGGGCGUAAAGCGCAUGCAGGCGGCCUGUUAAGUCAGAUGUGAAAGCCCGGGGCUUAACCUCGGAAUUGCAUUUGAAACUGGCAGGCUAGAGUCUUGUAGAGGGGGGUAGAAUUUCAGGUGUAGCGGUGAAAUGCGUAGAGAUCUGAAGGAAUACCAGUGGCGAAGGCGGCCCCCUGGACAAAGACUGACGCUCAGAUGCGAAAGCGUGGGGAGCAAACAGG
This 769-nucleotide ribosomal RNA is filed under the name uncultured bacterium. RNAcentral describes it as "bacterial SSU rRNA". It matches the Rfam family "Bacterial small subunit ribosomal RNA", at positions 28 to 776 of the family's 1533-position model. The record is from RNAcentral.